GAUGAACGCUGGCGGCGUGCUUAACACAUGCAAGUCGAACGAGAAGUGGAGACGGACACCUUCGGGCGGAAGACUUUAUUUCGAGUGGCGGACGGGUGAGUAACGCGUGGGUAACCUGCCUCAUACAGGGGGAUAACAGUUGGAAACGACUGUUAAUACCGCAUAAGACCACAGCACCGCAUGGUGCGGGGGUAAAAACUCCGGUGGUAUGAGAUGGACCCGCGUUCGAUUAGCCAGUUGGCGGGGUAACGGCCCACCAAAGCGACGAUCGAUAGCCGAUCUGAGAGGAUGACCGGCCACAUUGGGACUGAGACACGGCCCAAACUCCUACGGGAGGCAGCAGUGGGGAAUAUUGCACAAUGGGGGAAACCCUGAUGCAGCGACGCCGCGUGAGUGAAGAAGUAGUUCGGGAUGUAAAGCUCUAUAAGCAGGGAAGAAAAUGACGGUACCUGAGUAAGAAGCCCCGGCUAACUACGUG
RNAcentral lists this ribosomal RNA (478 nucleotides) under uncultured bacterium. Its description in RNAcentral is "partial 16S ribosomal RNA". It matches the Rfam family "Bacterial small subunit ribosomal RNA", at positions 28 to 507 of the family's 1533-position model. The record is from RNAcentral.